GAGAGGAGGGACAGCCAACCCAAGGCUGGUGGACUGCAGCUCAGCCAGGGAGCCAGGAGCUUCCCUGGCCUCAGGGAGCCCUGUAUGUAGGAACCCCAACCCCCCCUGCUCUCAAGGCCCUCACCAGUCCUUGCCGGGACCCCAGCAGCAGCGAGAUGGACCUGUCUCUCUCAGCCCCUCCAGGGCAGAGCUGGCGCUGGGGGCUGUGCAUUCCCACCAGCCCACGUUGGAGACUUGAACACAUCUUCCCUGAGGAAGAGGCUACACGGGCAGGGAUCUCGUCGAUGGAACUGAAGACAAGCCUGCGGCUUCUCACCGCUCACAGCUUCUUGAUCAACCUCCGUCAGGAUGGGGUCAACAGCACCGGUCCCUUGCACUGUUUGCUCUCUGACCGCCACAGAGUCACCGUGCUCUUUGGAAGCAGAGGACAGUGGCCCCAGGUUAUUUUGUUCUGCAGAAAGAAGACUAUCAAGUCAGGAAGGAGAAAGUGUUGAAGGCCGCGUGGGGCCCAGGAAGAGGGGGACUCUACUCCAGUGGUCAUUUCAGCUGCACAUGUGGGGACGGUCCCGUGCUGGGUGCACACAUGCUGAGAAGAUCGGGCCGUGGUGGUCUCUUCUAGAUUCUUCUGCCUUUUGGAUACAAGGUCCCGGCUUGCUCUCCAUGCUGCCUUGCAAAGCUUCCAUUUGUCUUCUAUGAAAAUCACUCAGCUGCCCGCCCAGGGUGGUGCUCUGGGUGGACGUGCUCACGCCCAGCCCCCAUGGGCAGUCCGUGGUGGGCCUGCACCUCUCUCUCCCAGGAGAGGGGAAGCAGGAAGGGCCGUCCACAGCAUGUGGCCACCAUAUGCAGAUGGAAGCACCAGGUGGGUGGCAGUGUCCACCACCCAUCCUUCUGUCAUGAAGAUGGACACUUGCUACCCACAGACUAAAAGCAUUUCCCACGGACUCAGCUGAAAUGUUGGAUUCUGGCAGAUGAUUUGCAAUCUGCUUAGUGGGACGCUGACAGACAGAAUGUUUACUUCUCAGAGUGAGAGUUCCUCAUUCUACCUUUUGUGCCUUUUUUUUUUCUUAUGGUUGUUAAUCAAAACCUUUUAACUUUUAAUUUUAAGUGAAAGAAGAUAGCCUUUGAAAAUUUGUCAAUCACUUCUCUAUCCCAGAGCUAGCAAAUCCUCUGGGAGGUUUCCCUUGAUCUGGGACACAUAACUUAAAGUAAAGGAGUGAGUCCACAAA
Marmota monax (woodchuck) is the source of this 1226-nucleotide long non-coding RNA. RefSeq lists it as uncharacterized. The transcript has 3 exons. The record is from RefSeq and is a predicted model, not a curated record. Lineage: Eukaryota; Metazoa; Chordata; Mammalia; Rodentia; Sciuridae.